Long non-coding RNA from Neofelis nebulosa (Clouded leopard), 829 nucleotides. RefSeq lists it as uncharacterized. The transcript is spliced from 2 exons. NCBI's taxonomy places the organism in Eukaryota, Metazoa, Chordata, Mammalia, Carnivora, Felidae. The record is from RefSeq and is a predicted model, not a curated record.
AACAGGUGCACGUACAAGAGAAGGCAAAUCUGGAGGCGCGGAACCCCUGGGCUGGCAGCUCCCACUUGCCCUGCUGAAGCCAGACUGGAAGCUGCAGAUGAGGUACCGGGCCCACGUGCAUGCUGGGGAAGGCCCAACACAAAGCAGCAGCAGCAAGCAAGGAGCAGAGUCUUGCAGUGGGAGAGAAGGAAGCAGGACACCUGGGUGCUAAGCCCAGCUCUGCAACCCCAAGAACUCACAGCCCCACGUGCAAGUGGAUGGACUGAAGCAGGGCAGUGGGGCCAGUGGCUGAUCAUUAGAAUCCCCUCGUAGAAUAGCAACAACAAAAAGGUUCCUGGGCUAUCUGUCCACCUCAGACCUACUGAGUCAGAAUCUCCAAGGCUGGCGCCCAGGGAAUCUGUAUAUUUCAAAGCUUUCCAGAAGAUUCUUGAGGUCUGUCGGGACCAAGAAUCACUGGACACCAUAGAUAAAACCCAGGCCCCUUAAGCUUCAAUAAUCACCCUCUACUGCUUGUACACUUUAGUUAUUGCCAUUGGUAUAAGAGUCCGAAUGCCCCAUCAUAAGGAAAGAGCUCACGCCCCCUUAAAGCUGCGCUGAGAGGCUUCUCAGACACUUGGGGACUUCUUUAGAGCUCACAUGGUCUCUAGAGCUAUUCUGUCAGCAUUCUGAGCUGGCCAACUUCAAGAAAUCGCCCCACGCAUUGUAAGAUACGUAGCACACCUGGCUUUUAUUUGCUAAAUGCAGGAAAAUCUUGAUUUGCGAGCAUAAUUCAUCCCAGAAACAUGUUUGUCAUCCAAAGCACUCGUGUAUCAAAGAGAAUUUCAAGAAC